Small nucleolar RNA from Gorilla gorilla gorilla (western lowland gorilla), 104 nucleotides. It matches the Rfam family "Small nucleolar RNA U13". The record is from Rfam. Lineage: Eukaryota; Metazoa; Chordata; Mammalia; Primates; Hominidae.
GUCCUUUUAUAGUUGAUGAGCAUGAUGAUUGGGUGUUCACACCCAUGUGUGAAAUGUCCCACCCUCAAAUCUUGUUACAAUAUUGGCAUAUUACCCAUCUGACA